This 439-nucleotide ribosomal RNA is filed under the name uncultured bacterium. Its description in RNAcentral is "bacterial SSU rRNA". It matches the Rfam family "Bacterial small subunit ribosomal RNA", at positions 338 to 794 of the family's 1533-position model. The record is from RNAcentral.
CCUACGGGAGGCAGCAGUGGGGGAUAUUGCACAAUGGGGGGAACCCUGAUGCAGCGACGCCGCGUGGGCGAUGGAGUGCUUCGGCAUGUAAAGCCCUAUCAGCAGGGAAGAAAAUGACGGUACCUGACUAAGAAGCCCCGGCUAAAUACGUGCCAGCAGCCGCGGUAAUACGUAUGGGGCAAGCGUUAUCCGGAUUUACUGGGUGUAAAGGGAGCGUAGGCGGCCUGGCAAGCCUGAUGUGAAAUACCGGGGCCCAACCCCGGGGCUGCAUUGGGAACUGCCAGGCUGGAGUGCCGGAGAGGCAGGCGGAAUUCCUAGUGUAGCGGUGAAAUGCGUAGAUAUUAGGAGGAACACCAGUGGCGAAGGCGGCCUGCUGGACGGUGACUGACGCUGAGGCUCGAAAGCGUGGGGAGCAAACAGGAUUAGAUACCCCAGUAGU